AUAAACAAACAAAAAAACACCAAAAAAAAA
Molecule: small RNA, 30 nt
Filed under: Arabidopsis thaliana (thale cress)
Lineage: Eukaryota; Viridiplantae; Streptophyta; Magnoliopsida; Brassicales; Brassicaceae
Description: ATSL113390
Source: RNAcentral